This 516-nucleotide ribosomal RNA is filed under the name Orthotylinae gen. ZANCGEN1 sp. Msp458. RNAcentral describes it as "partial large subunit ribosomal RNA". The stretch from base 388 to 516 matches the Rfam family "Bacterial large subunit ribosomal RNA", at positions 2473 to 2602 of the family's 2925-position model. The record is from RNAcentral. Lineage: Eukaryota; Metazoa; Arthropoda; Insecta; Hemiptera; Miridae.
AACAUGGUCUUUUGUUUAUAUAAAAGAUCUGGCCUGCUCAGUGAUGUUUUAAAUAGCUGCAGUAUUUUGACUGUACAAAGGUAGCAUAAUCAUUUGUCUUUUAAUUGAGGUCUGGAAUGAAUGGUUUGAUGAAAAAUAUACUUUAUUUAUUUUAAAUAGAAAACUUAAUUUUUAAGUUAAAAAGCUUGGAAAUUUUUUUAUAGGACGAGAAGACCCUAUAGAGCUUUAUUUAUAUAUUUUUAUAUUUUUUUAGGUUAUAUAUUUAUAUUAAAAAUAUAUAAAUUUUGUUGGGGUGACAAAAAAAAUAUUAUAACUUUUUUUAAUUUUUACAUUUAUAUUAAUGUAUUUUUGAUCCUUUUUUUGGAAAAAAGAAUAAGCUACCUUAGGGAUAACAGCGUUAUUAUUUUGGAGAGUUCAUAUUGAUGAAAUAGUUUGCGACCUCGAUGUUGGAUUAAAAUAAGGUAUAGGGGUAAAAAAUUAUAUCCUUGGUCUGUUCGACCUUUAAAUUUUUACAUG